AAUGGCACCCUAUUCCCUACAUAGUGCACUACUUUUGUCCAGAGCAGUGCACUAUAUAGGGAAUAGGGUGCCAUUU
Molecule: microRNA precursor, 76 nt
Filed under: Salmo salar (Atlantic salmon)
Lineage: Eukaryota; Metazoa; Chordata; Actinopteri; Salmoniformes; Salmonidae
Description: mir-130 microRNA precursor family
Source: Rfam by way of RNAcentral